This 20-nucleotide small nuclear RNA is filed under the name Arabidopsis thaliana (thale cress). RNAcentral describes it as "snRNA_00723". The record is from RNAcentral. Lineage: Eukaryota; Viridiplantae; Streptophyta; Magnoliopsida; Brassicales; Brassicaceae.
UUCUCUCUCUCUCUUUCUCU